Molecule: ribosomal RNA, 441 nt
Filed under: uncultured bacterium
Lineage: Bacteria
Description: partial 16S ribosomal RNA
Rfam family: Bacterial small subunit ribosomal RNA
Source: RNAcentral
CCUACGGGAGGCAGCAGUGGGGGAUAUUGCACAAUGGGGGAAACCCUGAUGCAGCGACGCCGCGUGGGUGAAGAAGUAUUUCGGUAUGUAAAGCCCUAUCAGCAGGGAAGAAAGAAGACGUUACCGGACUAAGAAGCCCCGCCUAACUACUUGCCGGCAGCCGCGGUAAUACGUAGGGGGCGAGCGUUCUCCGGUUUCACUGGUGGUAAGGGGAGCGUAGACGGCUGUGCAAGCCAGGAGUGAACGCCCGGGGCCCAACCCCGGGACUGCUCUGGGAACUGUGCGGCUGGAGUGCGGGAGGGGCAGGCGGAAUUCCUGGUGUAGCGGUGAAAUGCGUAGAUAUCAGGAGGAACACCGGCGGCGAAGGCGGCCUGCUGGACCGCGACUGACGUUGAGGCUCGAAAGCGUGGGGAGCGAACAGGAUUAGAUACCCCAGUAGUC